RNAcentral lists this ribosomal RNA (431 nucleotides) under Enterobacter cloacae subsp. dissolvens. RNAcentral's name for it is "bacterial SSU rRNA". It matches the Rfam family "Bacterial small subunit ribosomal RNA", at positions 558 to 989 of the family's 1533-position model. Lineage: Bacteria; Pseudomonadati; Pseudomonadota; Gammaproteobacteria; Enterobacterales; Enterobacteriaceae. The record is from RNAcentral.
GCGUAAGCGCACGCAGGCGGUCUGUCAAGUCGGAUGUGAAAUCCCCGGGCUCAACCUGGGAACUGCAUUCGAAACUGGCAGGCUAGAGUCUUGUAGAGGGGGGUAGAAUUCCAGGUGUAGCGGUGAAAUGCGUAGAGAUCUGGAGGAAUACCGGUGGCGAAGGCGGCCCCCUGGACAAAGACUGACGCUCAGGUGCGAAAGCGUGGGGAGCAAACAGGAUUAGAUACCCUGGUAGUCCACGCCGUAAACGAUGUCGACUUGGAGGUUGUGCCCUUGAGGCGUGGCUUCCGGAGCUAACGCGUUAAGUCGACCGCCUGGGGAGUACGGCCGCCAGGUUAAAACUCAAAUGAAUUGACGGGGGCCCGCACAAGCGGUGGAGCAUGUGGUUUAAUUCCAUGCCACGCGAAGAACCUUACCUACUCUUGACAUCC